UACGAUGGCUACAAUAAUAGC
Molecule: non-coding RNA, 21 nt
Organism: Caenorhabditis elegans
Lineage: Eukaryota; Metazoa; Nematoda; Chromadorea; Rhabditida; Rhabditidae
Source: Ensembl